UACAGAGGGGGCAAGCGUUAUUCGGAAUUAUUGGGCGUAAAGGGCGCGUAGGCGGCCUGGCAAGUGGAAGGUGAAAUCCCUCGGCUUAACCGAGGAACUGCCCUCCAAACUGCUUGGCUUGAGUCCGGGAGAGGUGAGUGGAAUUCCCAGUGUAGCGGUGAAAUGCGUAGAUAUUGGGAGGAACACCAGUGGCGAAGGCGGCUCACUGGACCGGCACUGACGCUGAGGUGCGAAAGCGUGGGGAGCAAACAGG
RNAcentral lists this ribosomal RNA (253 nucleotides) under uncultured bacterium. Its description in RNAcentral is "partial 16S ribosomal RNA". It matches the Rfam family "Bacterial small subunit ribosomal RNA", at positions 524 to 776 of the family's 1533-position model. The record is from RNAcentral.